This 325-nucleotide ribosomal RNA is filed under the name uncultured archaeon. RNAcentral's name for it is "partial 16S ribosomal RNA". It matches the Rfam family "Archaeal small subunit ribosomal RNA", at positions 330 to 747 of the family's 1478-position model. The record is from RNAcentral.
GCGCAGCAGUCGCGAAAACUCCACAAUGUGGGAAACCACGAUGGGGGAACUCCCAGUGCGCACACUUUGUGUGCGCUGUUCUCCUGCCUAAAAAGCAGGAGAAGUAAGGGCCGGGUAAGACGGGUGCCAGCCGCCGCGGUAAUACCCGCGGCCCGAGUGGUGCUCAUUAUUAUUGAAUCUAAAACGUCCGUAGCCGGUCGGGUAGAUUCCUGGGUAAAUCGAACCGCUCAACGGCUCGAAUUCCGGGGAGGCCGCCCGACUAGGGACCGGGAGAGGCGUGAGGUACUCCUGGGGUAGCGAACCGGAUUAGAUACCCGCGUAGUCC